RNAcentral lists this ribosomal RNA (620 nucleotides) under uncultured bacterium. RNAcentral's name for it is "bacterial SSU rRNA". It matches the Rfam family "Bacterial small subunit ribosomal RNA", at positions 338 to 947 of the family's 1533-position model. The record is from RNAcentral.
CCUACGGGAGGCAGCAGUAGGGAAUCUUCCGCAAUGGACGAAAGUCUGACGGAGCAACGCCGCGUGAACGAUGAAGGCCUUCGGGUCGUAAAGUUCUGUUGUUAGGGAAGAACAAGUGCUAGUUGAAUAAGCUGGCACCUUGACGGUACCUAACCAGAAAGCCACGGCUAACUACGUGCCAGCAGCCGCGGUAAUACGUAGGUGGCAAGCGUUGUCCGGAAUUAUUGGGCGUAAAGCGCGCGCAGGCGGUUUCUUAAGUCUGAUGUGAAAGCCCCCGGCUCAACCGGGGAGGGUCAUUGGAAACUGGGAAACUUGAGUGCGGAAGAGGAAAGUGGAAUUCCAAGUGUAGCGGUGAAAUGCGUAGAGAUUUGGAGGAACACCAGUGGCGAAGGCGACUUUCUGGUCUGUAACUGACGCUGAGGCGCGAAAGCGUGGGGAGCAAACAGGAUUAGAUACCCUGGUAGUCCACGCUGUAAACGAUGAGUGCUAAGUGUUAGAGGGUUUCCGCCCUUUAGUGCUGAAGUUAACGCAUUAAGCACUCCGCCUGGGGAGUCGGUCGCAAGACUGAAACUUAAAUGAAAUUGACGGNUUGAGAGNGCGAGCGACGACGAGGGAGGAGG